AGGACGAACGCUGGCGGCGUGCUUAACACAUGCAAGUCGAACGGAUUCGUGGCACUUGUGUUGCGGGUUAGUGGCGAACGGGUGAGUAACACGUGAGUAACCUGCCCCAGACUCUGGGAUAACUCCGGGAAACCGGUGCUAAUACUGGAUAUGACAUCAAGCCGCAUGGUUAUGGUGUGGAAAGUUUUUCGGUCUGGGAUGGGCUCGCGGCCUAUCAGCUUGUUGGUGAGGUAGUGGCUCACCAAGGCGACGACGGGUAGCCGGCCUGAGAGGGCGAUCGGCCACACUGGGACUGAGACACGGCCCAGACUCCUACGGGAGGCAGCAGUGGGGAAUAUUGCACAAUGGGCGCAAGCCUGAUGCAGCGACGCCGCGUGAGGGAUGACGGCCUUCGGGUUGUAAACCUCUUUCAGCAGGGACGAAGCGCAAGUGACGGUACUGCAGAAGAAGGACCGGCCGAACUACGUGCCAGCAGCCGCGGUAA
This 484-nucleotide ribosomal RNA is filed under the name uncultured bacterium. RNAcentral describes it as "SSU rRNA". It matches the Rfam family "Bacterial small subunit ribosomal RNA", at positions 26 to 523 of the family's 1533-position model. The record is from RNAcentral.